UAUAACAUAUCAUCCCAUGCUUUAUAAUUUUUCAAAACUAUGUCGUCAUGUUUUUCUUUUUAGCUAAUCUGUUAAUGUCAGCAGGCUAAUGGUGCAAAUUGAAGAAGUUUGAAUAUCAAAUAAAAUAGGUUUGUAGAUUUUUUUCAAGAUAUUAGUCAUUGCAUUGAGAUUUUUUAUUCUGCUGCACGGUAUUUUGUGACAGCUUUUGGGGAAUAAGGUGGAUGUGCCCCUCACUCAAUAGGUGUAUCCUUUUCUUUUUCAUUUCUACAUACUUCUUAGUGGUGCCAUCCACCACUACCAUUAAAAAAAGAAAACAAAAGAAAAAAAAAACUAAUAAAGCAAGAAACAAAUAGUUCAUAACUUUGUAAAGAAGAGAAACAUGUGGCAAGGGAUUCCAAAAUUUUUGUGAAACAGGAUCCACUGUUCCUAGUCAAUAACAAACAUGACCUUGAUAAGAGUUACAAGCUUCAAACAAACAUUCCACCAGGAAAAGAAUUAAAAAGGAACAAAAAGUACUUCUAAUAAGGAGCUAUAGUUAAGGCAAUCUGAACCAUUUGUCCCGUGGGUCCUGUUGUGAAUGUCAUGUUCUUGAAAAAUAUAAUGUCUUUUGUGACAAGCAUGCAUUGAGUGUGGAUUGCUGAUCACUUUUGGCCAACCAUUCAUUUUCUUCAUUCUCAUGUUGCACACAUUGAACAGACCAAGCUGAUUUGAGUGCCAUGACACAGCGACGAAGUAGCCUAAGUGGGGGCAUUUAAAGGAUCUACCUGCAGCUAUAAAACUCUGUGAACCGGCUUUAGUUGUUGUUGAUGAUGCGCCAGAAUAUAUAAAAUUGGGACAAAAGCAAGAGGAAUGGAGUAUGGCUUUACUAUCUAGAUGACUAAAACAGGGCUGCAUUUGUACAAAGGACCUGAGGAUGGUAUGCAUAUCCUUGGGUUUACCCAUCCUGUUUGGUGGGCGUUGAAAGAGACUACUUAGCCUUAAGCAAGCAGUAUCCAAAAUUAUCAAUAUCCCUGGAAUUCACCGAGGUAUGACUUUUCUUAUUUCAGUUGCUGCUUGCAAGUAACGGCUAUCUUACUUGUCAUGAAUCUAGGCUGAA
Molecule: long non-coding RNA, 1096 nt
Organism: Magnolia sinica
Lineage: Eukaryota; Viridiplantae; Streptophyta; Magnoliopsida; Magnoliales; Magnoliaceae
Exons: 3
Source: RefSeq, a predicted model, not a curated record